This 253-nucleotide ribosomal RNA is filed under the name uncultured bacterium. RNAcentral describes it as "partial 16S ribosomal RNA". It matches the Rfam family "Bacterial small subunit ribosomal RNA", at positions 524 to 776 of the family's 1533-position model. The record is from RNAcentral.
GACGAACCGUGCGAACGUUGUUCGGAAUCACUGGGCUUAAAGGGCGCGUAGGCGGCCCUCCAAGUCAGGGGUGAAAGCCCCCAGCUCAACUGGGGAAGGGCCUUUGAUACUGGAGGGCUCGAGGGGGGUAGGGGCGGACGGAACUUCCGGUGGAGCGGUGAAAUGCGUUGAUAUCGGAAGGAACGCCGGUGGCGAAAGCGGUCCGCUGGGCCCCCACUGACGCUGAGGCGCGAAAGCCAGGGGAGCAAACGGG